This 743-nucleotide ribosomal RNA is filed under the name uncultured bacterium. RNAcentral's name for it is "bacterial SSU rRNA". It matches the Rfam family "Bacterial small subunit ribosomal RNA", at positions 43 to 776 of the family's 1533-position model. The record is from RNAcentral.
CAGGCUUAACACAUGCAAGUCGAGGGGCAUCAGGAAGAAAGCUUGCUUUCUUUGCUGGCGACCGGCGCACGGGUGAGUAACACGUAUCCAACCUGCCCUUUACUCGGGGAUAGCCUUUCGAAAGAAAGAUUAAUACCCGAUAGCAUAAUGAUUCCGCAUGGUUUCAUUAUUAAAGGAUUCCGGUAAAGGAUGGGGAUGCGUUCCAUUAGGUUGUUGGUGGGGUAACGGCCCACCAAGCCUUCGAUGGAUAGGGGUUCUGAGAGGAGGGUCCCCCACAUUGGAACUGAGACACGGUCCAAACUCCUACGGGAGGCAGCAGUGAGGAAUAUUGGUCAAUGGGCGCUAGCCUGAACCAGCCAAGUAGCGUGAAGGAUGAAGGCUCUAUGGGUCGUAAACCUCUUUUAUAUAAGAAUAAAGUGCAGUAUGUAUACUGUUUUGUAUGUAUUAUAUGAAUAAGGAUCGGCUAACUCCGUGCCAGCAGCCGCGGUAAUACGGAGGAUCCGAGCGUUAUCCGGAUUUAUUGGGUUUAAAGGGAGCGUAGGUGGACUGGUAAGUCAGUUGUGAAAGUUUGCGGCUCAACCGUAAAAUUGCAGUUGAUACUGUCAGUCUUGAGUACAGUAGAGGUGGGCGGAAUUCGUGGUGUAGCGGUGAAAUGCUUAGAUAUCACGAAGAACUCCGAUUGCGAAGGCAGCUCACUGGACUGCAACUGACACUGAUGCUCGAAAGUGUGGGUAUCAAACAGG